Molecule: long non-coding RNA, 4164 nt
Organism: Monomorium pharaonis (pharaoh ant)
Lineage: Eukaryota; Metazoa; Arthropoda; Insecta; Hymenoptera; Formicidae
Exons: 2
Source: RefSeq, a predicted model, not a curated record
AAUACGGCAAAAUAUAAUUUUAUUUUUACAAAUAAAUCAAUUAAUCGCAUUUCUACAAAUAAAUCAAUUAAUAAGAAAAACAAUAUAUAUUUCACAGAAACGUAUAUUUUGUCAUCACAAUUUUUUCGCAAAUAAAUAUUGAAGAAAAUAUAACAAUAUUUGAUAAUAUUUGCUAAAUUUUCGUUCUUAAUGUAACAUGACAAGAGAUGACAUAACAAACUACAGGUUUAAAAAUAAAACAAGAGAGUAUGCAAAGGAGGUAAGGGAUACUUGUCUCCCCUAAAUUUUGGCAAGGUGAAGGAAUUAAAUUAUAAAAAUCAUUUUUAUGACGAAAAGUUAAACGCUCGGUAGCAAAUGCGUGUCGCUCACGUUUUAUUUCCUAGAAGAAUUUAAAAAAUUAAAGACGAAAUACUUAAAAAAUUUGAACCAGCAGAAGUAUUAAAGCAAGAAGCUGAAACCUUUCCUCCUUUCCCAACUGAAAUCGUGGAUAUGCCCAUGAACAAGAGUAGAACAAAGAGGGUGCAGAGAAAGAAGACAGGUAAAAGGAAGCGAGACGAAGCGUGGAAAAAGAAAAACCUUUCACGAGUUUACUGGAAUGGGGAUAGGCUUCGGGAUCUCAGGGUUAGGAACAUAGCUCGAGAAAACUGUAAAGGGGAGAGAGAUGGAAGGAAAAAGAACAAGCGGAAAAGGAGCUAGCUCUACUCACUGUGUGAAAUCGAAGAAAAAUCGUAGGAGGGUUGGAGCAAAGGGAUGUGGGCGAACGAAGAGAGUCAGGAGGGCGAGACAAUGGGGAGGGAGCCUUCGGAGUAAGAAAGCUGAUCUCGAUUCCAGAGAGAUCGUCAAGAGACGCACAUAUCAAACAGAUCCGAAGAUGUAAUUGCAAAAAUAAAUAUUCAAAAAGUACUUAAAAAUACGAGACAACAACGUCUGCGCAAUUUGUAUAAGAAAAUAAUAAUGUUAAACUUAUUGUAAUCAGUAAACUUUCAGUAACUUAAUCUUCAUACGUCUUAGAGAGUGAUUCCUUGACAUUGUUUUUAUAUUAUACUUGAAAAUGUUUUAACUUUAAAUAGUGUUUAAAAGAUGUUGAACAUUUUAGUUUCAAAUGUUUUGUGUUUUAAAUCUAAAUGCGGUUAAAAAUUAAACAAAUUUAAGUAUGUAAAACAAGACGACAGAAAUAAAACAUUUUAAUAUAUCUUAAAAUUAAGUUCUAACUUCUUUCUAUAAUGAAAUUGAAUAUUAUAAAUCAACUUUUCGUCAUUGCUUACACAUAGACAUGUGUAUACAAAGCCUGUGCAUACAAAGAGAAGCAAUAAAAAGCAUUUCUUAAAUUUCCCUUUUCUCAUACCUCAGAUCUGAAAUAAGAAACAUAUAUCCGUUAUUGCGUAUGUUUGACAGCAGCAACAUUUCGCGCAACAAUAUUUUGCAAGGUAUUUUGAAAAUUUUCAAAAGUGACGCUUCACGCGCCGUUGAGGGACGGAUUCCUCAACUGACUGCUGGACAUCGCGCAUUCGCGGGUGCCGGUCGCUCGCACAAUCGCAAGUGACCGUGAAGAGGCACGACACUGUAAAAUAAGGCCGCGGCGUCCAUCUUUCUACUCGCGGUACCGCAAAGAAAACGGUGACCCGCCGUCAUCCGCUGUACGUGCGCGCGCGCGCGCGCUCAUGCAUUCUACCUUGUUAGUUUGGCUCCUCUUCGAGUUCGCUCCGGUUUCUUUUUCCCUCCUCGCGUGCCGAUUCACCUCGUAAUGCUUGAAAAAUAAUCCCCGGUCCGCGGACUCUCUCGAGGAACGCCGGCGCGGCGAUUGUUCCGUGACGGCGCGAUUAACGUACGCAGUCAAUUAUAUUGAUACGGUACAUGUCCGUCGGACGAUGUACCGGGCGACGCGCGUUUCGCGGUGUCGCGUCGUUUGUUUUCGAAUUAACCGACGGAAAUGGAUUUAAGGAUUUAGUUCGCCGUCUUCGAUCCCGGAUAAAAGGAAAUGUUCGGUAAAAGCGCGAAAAAAAAGACAUCUAACUUUCGAGUGUUAACAUCGAAAGAUUGAAGCGAGAUCCGUAAUCGCCAAUCUUAACUAACGUUUUGCCCUUUAAACGCAAGAUAUCGUUUCACCGUUUCUACGCAACAAUAUGAAAUAGUAGACCAAAAAUGCACGAACGUUUUAUUCGAUACGUGCAAGUAUCGAAUAAAGCUAAUGUCGCUAAGCUAAAUGUUGUUUCAGGAAAAAUAGCGCCUUCGGAAUAUCCAGGUACAUACAUGCAAAGUUCCAAUUAUAAAACAAGACGCGUCAAAGCGAUGAAAUGGUGGUUCUUGUCAUCUCACGUAACCUCCGAAAUCUCGUUUGCCACCCUGAUAUUUUCCUUAAAGGAACAUCGUUUAUUUGUGCCACGCAAAUAAACAUCUUCGCUCUAUACGCAUCUGAGGUCGGAGCUGCAUCAAUCUGCCUGGGAUGUUUCAUAUGGAUGUCAUUCGCGUACGCGAUUUUUCUCGAUCUGAAGGCAAUGCCGAACGCAUGGAUAAGCUGACGCGCGUGUGUGUUGAUCGAUGCGAAAGGUCACCAUGACCGUUGCACGCGUGAUCAAUCGGUGGAGAGAGAAGGGAGAGAAAAAACAGAAAGAGAGAGAGAGAGAGGGAGGGAGGUAGGUAGUCUCUCCCCCCUCUUUCCCCGAUGCUCGUUCUGGAUUCUGUCCGGACAGAUCGACGACACAGAUCGGCCUGUGUCACGCGCCUUCACCAAAUAUCCGCGGAGAUGCGGAGGGUCGAUUGGGCGCGGGUGGAAGAGAAUCUGUCCUACACGCCAGAUCCCAGCUGUAGAUUAUUCUCGGCGGUAGACACGCAGGAGUGCCCGUUUGUUCGUUCGUUCGUUCGUUCGGUAGGCCGUAUAGAAAUACACAUUCUAAUCAUAGAAAAUUCCUUUAACAGAGCAGAGUGAGACACCGGUGGCGAGGGAGGGCGGGAAUCCCAUGCAGUGGAGGAAGGCACGAGAGGAAGAGUUAACAGGGGAGAUAGGGAUGAACGGAGAAGGGCGCACCCCUACCAGAAAUUUCAGCGAGGAGUCAAGACUGGGAGAGGCCAGAGGGGGUAUUUAUAGCCACGUCUUCGUCGUCGUCGUCAUCAUCGUCGUCGUCGUCGUCGAUCGGUCGUCGAGGACGACGAUGACGACGAAGCUGUAAAUAUCAACCCCUCCAGCCUCUUCUUCUUCUUCUUCUUCUUCUAGUUUCUUUCUCCUCGCUGUCGUAAGUGAGAAAGAAAAAGAAAGAGAGAGAGAGAGAGAGAGAGAGAGAGAGAGAGAGAGAGAGAGAGAGACAGAAGGAGAGAGAAAAAGAGAAUCAUCCUCUUCCCGAUCUUAUCUUUCUCUUUUACUCAAUGCUCUUCCUCAUCUCACCUCCCGUCUCCGUUACUCUUCCUUCUCUCAUUCUUCGCCUUCUCGCUUGCUCGCUUUAAGGCGUCUUUCUUUCGCCCUCCGCGGCGCGUUCCGUUUCCCCCUUCCCCCCUCCUCCCACCCUCUGUCCGUCUCAUGUACAUCCUCCUUCUCUCUCCUUCUUCAUCUUCUUCGCCCUCCUUACCUCCGUAUGGCUCAUGCUCGUACGCCUCUAUUCUACAAUAUGUAUUUAAAAUAGCUGCAUGCUGCAAAAUAACUGAAAUAGCCGUGAAGGGUCGAUGAUCCCCGCGACUCCUAUUUCCUGGAAGAAGCCGCAUCACCACGGAUUUUCGACGUCGCUGACGGCCCUGUCGCCACCGCGCUCUCGCCACGUUCCUUCGAAACGCUAUUUGUCGUCCGCUUCACCUCGAGCUUGCGGCGCACCGUUGACCCGACAUUCGAUAUCGAGGUCGAACGUCCUCAUUGUCGUAACGGGCAUAAUAUACAGAAGGUCGCCUGUCGCAGGAGAAUGCGAUUACGCCGCUGUAACGGCGCACUCGAGCAAUGAGUAUCAAACGUGUUUUCAUAUUGAAAUUCCGGAUGGCCUAUAAAAUUAUUACAAUCAAUUGAACAAAAGUAAUAUAAAACUUAUCGCGAAAAUAAAAUUUUUUGCGAAUAAAAUAUCACGGCGAUACUCUCAGUCCCGAAUCAGUUUCAUACCUCUCGUUGUUCGGCAAUAACAUCACCUCUAUCGAGCAUCGAUGCUUGAUCGAUGCUUGUAAUUAAUUUCAAACACUCGUGUAAUUUUA